Molecule: small nucleolar RNA, 134 nt
Organism: Aotus nancymaae (Ma's night monkey)
Lineage: Eukaryota; Metazoa; Chordata; Mammalia; Primates; Aotidae
Gene: SNORA64
Product: small nucleolar RNA, H/ACA box 64
Source: Ensembl
CCUCUCCCAGCUCUGCAUAGUUGCACUUGGCUUCACCCGUGUGACUUUCGUAAUGGGGAGAGAGAGAAAAGAUCUCCUCAGGACCUCAGAUGGGCCUUACUGUGGCCUCUCUUUACUUGAGGGGCGCAACAGUC